GACGAACGCUGGCGGCGUGCCUAAUACAUGCAAGUAGAACGCACAGUUUAUACCGUAGCUUGCUACACCAUAGACUGUGAGUUGCGAACGGGUGAGUAACGCGUAGGUAACCUGCCUGGUAGCGGGGGAUAACUAUUGGAAACGAUAGCUAAUACCGCAUAAUAUUGAUUAUUGCAUGAUAAUUGAUUGAAAGAUGCUAUUGCAUCACUACCAGAUGGACCUGCGUUGUAUUAGCUAGUAGGUGAGGUAACGGCUCACCUAGGCGACGAUACAUAGCCGACCUGAGAGGGUGAUAGGCCACACUGGGACUGAGACACGGCCCAGACUCCUACGGGAGGCAGCAGUAGGGAAUCUUCGGCAAUGGACGAAAGUCUGACCGAGCAACGCCGCGUGAGUGAAGAAGGUUUUCGGAUCGUAAAGCUCUGUUGUAAGAGAAGAACGGGUGUGAGAGUGGAAAGUUCACACUGUGACGGUAUCUUACCAGAAAGGGACGGCGAACUACGU
RNAcentral lists this ribosomal RNA (504 nucleotides) under uncultured bacterium. RNAcentral's name for it is "partial 16S ribosomal RNA". It matches the Rfam family "Bacterial small subunit ribosomal RNA", at positions 28 to 506 of the family's 1533-position model. The record is from RNAcentral.